RNAcentral lists this long non-coding RNA (497 nucleotides) under Nicotiana benthamiana. RNAcentral describes it as "long non-coding RNA (NBEN_LNC014706)". The record is from RNAcentral. Lineage: Eukaryota; Viridiplantae; Streptophyta; Magnoliopsida; Solanales; Solanaceae.
UGAAAACUCAAACAAUAUAUAUUGAGACAUGGGAAAAUGAGUUAAAAAUGAUUAGAGAAAAGCUUGAGACAUUACAACAAGGAGUUCCUAGGUUAAAGUAUUAUGAUUGUUCAAAAGUGAUCACUGAGAACACUUGCUUUUUCGCCGACCAGCUUCAAUAUUGAAGAUGCUUCAUUUAAACAGCUGAUUCCUUUGACUUACAGUCAUUCAAAUCUACCUAUAAUGAAACAAGCAAUUCUCAACUGGUAUCAAGUUGAAUUUCUCUCUGAUUCAAGUCUAUCAAUGGGGAACCGUUUAGCAUUAUAUUUCAAUUUUUAUAAGUUUGCGAAUAGAAGGUUUUUUCUUAUAUUAUGACUUGAUUAGGAGUGAAUAUGAGAAGGAUGGAAACUUACAUCGCCGGGAAAAAAAGAGAUUGAAUUCGUCGGAGAGACCAAGUCGGUGACAUUGAAACGCUUAAACGGGUCGGUUCUUCAAUCCUAAAUGAGGAUGCCUCUCAU